UCUACGGGUGGCAGCAGUGAGGAAUAUUGGUCAAUGGGCGCGAGCCUGAACCAGCCAAGUAGCGUGAAGGAUGACUGCCCUACGGGUUGUAAACUUCUUUUAUAAAGGAAUAAAGUGAGGCACGUGUGCCUUUUUGUAUGUACUUUAUGAAUAAGGAUCGGCUAACACCGUGCCAGCAGCCGCGGUAAUACGGAGGAUCCGAGCUUUAUCCGGAUUUAUUGGGUUUAAAGGGAGCGUAGAUGGGUUGUUAAGUCAGUUGUGAAAGGUUGCGGCUUAACCGUAAAAUUGCAAUUGAUACGGGCAGCCUUGAGUACAGUUGAGGGAGGCAGAAUUCGAUGUGUAGCGGUGAAAUGCUUAGAUAUCACGAAGAACUCCGAUUGCGAAGGCAGCUUACUAAACUGCCACUGACAUUGAUGCUCGAAAGUGUGGGUAUCAAACAGGAUUAGAUACCCGGGUAGUC
Molecule: ribosomal RNA, 460 nt
Filed under: uncultured bacterium
Lineage: Bacteria
Description: partial 16S ribosomal RNA
Rfam family: Bacterial small subunit ribosomal RNA
Source: RNAcentral